GUCAACAACAUGAACCUCAAAUUUUCAGCAGCGUUUAUACCUAGCAACAUUCAAAUUGCAGAGGUUUUGCUGAAAGCAGCUUUGAUCGUCACAGACUUCAACAUUGAAACUGCUUCUUUUCUUGUGGAUGACAUACAGGUAUCAAGUGGAGUAAGCCACAACAUCAGCCUCAUCACUGCACUCAGCUUGGUCCUGCUGUCAUGGCUUCUUUCAAACCAGCAAUAACGUCUCUGCUGGUUUCCAGAGGAAGAUGUGCUGGAAAAUGUCAAUUCUUACUGGUGUGAAGAAGGACAUUCUAAAAAUUUACUCAUGACACUUUAAAACUUUAAAAACAUUUAUUGAAUCUUGAUACUGUAUAACAGUGAAUAUGUUUAUUUGAAUUGUCAGGCUCUUUAAGUUUGUUCAUAUCAGUUCUUUCUUAUUUAUUUAUGUAAAUUUAAUUAUUAUGGUAAAGUAAUAUAAUUUA
Xiphophorus couchianus (Monterrey platyfish) is the source of this 466-nucleotide long non-coding RNA. RefSeq lists it as uncharacterized. Lineage: Eukaryota; Metazoa; Chordata; Actinopteri; Cyprinodontiformes; Poeciliidae. The record is from RefSeq and is a predicted model, not a curated record. The transcript has 2 exons.